AACGGAAAAUUGAAAACAAAACUUAUUGCUUAUAAAAAUAACAAUCAAAGAGCAGAAAAAACAUCGAGUGUAAGCGCGAGUGCGAGUGAAUUGCACAGCACGUAAAAGCGCUUUAGUGGCGAUUGCACGACUAUGAGAUACCCUGCAAAGCGUAACCGAAUAACAAUAUGUCAGACUAAAUCAAUGAAGACUGAUGAAGUAUAAAAUCAGUUAACGGGUGCAUGUUACAAAAAGUAGAGCUAAAUCGAUAUGCCCUGCUUUAUCAAUUUUUAAUGGGUAAAUAUGUAAAUAAAUAGUGGGUGGCAGUGCGUGAGGAACUGAGAGAUGUUAAAAGAAAAUCAAGGGAUUGCUUUACAUGCUUAAGGAUAAGGCAACCAAAAGAGUGACUAAAAAGUAACUAAAAGUUUAAUGGAGAUUGAGUAAUGCACGUGUCCAAUAAGUAUAUAAUACACGUGCCUGCACGUGUCGCACUCACCUUGACAAAGCAGCAGCAGGUGUGGCAGGUGUUGCGGCUGGAGCAGCGUCAGCUGAACAGGCAAUGGGGCUGUGGCACAAUGGGCAUGUCCGAUGCCUUGUUAUCUCCAUGGGCGAUGCACAGUGAUGGCAAGUAGA
Long non-coding RNA from Drosophila hydei, 612 nucleotides. RefSeq lists it as uncharacterized. The transcript has 3 exons. The record is from RefSeq and is a predicted model, not a curated record. Lineage: Eukaryota; Metazoa; Arthropoda; Insecta; Diptera; Drosophilidae.